This 2112-nucleotide ribosomal RNA is filed under the name Triticum aestivum (bread wheat). RNAcentral describes it as "partial small subunit ribosomal RNA". The record is from RNAcentral. Lineage: Eukaryota; Viridiplantae; Streptophyta; Magnoliopsida; Poales; Poaceae.
ACCGGGUAGCCAAAAAAGGAAAAAAAGGAGAAAGAGAAUAAAUUUAUAAAUUCACAGCGCGGAGGUAUUCGCAAAUUUCUCAAGCCAAGUAAUAUUGGUGCCUCUACUACUCUGCCAGACCCAGCUGAUGCGUUGGCGAUUGUUGCCAUUGUGGAAGAGCCACAAACUAAUGAAAACUCAGACUCUGAUCAGAAUAUAAACUCCAACAUCGGCGAUGACAAUAUCUUCAAGUCUAGCACCAACAGGAGUCUGAGUUCCUUAGCACAUGAUGGACUAGGACAUUGGAGGCAUAUUAGUGAGAAGCUCAAAGAACAUGUAAAUAGCAUUGAGCAUAUUAAUAACAUGAAGAAGUGGAAUGAAUUGAGAGUUAGACUGAGAAAACAGGAAACUAUUGACAAGGAUUUGCAACAUCAAAUAACAAAGGAGAAAGAACGUGUCAGGCAAGUUCUGUUAAGAAUAAUAGCAGUUGUGAAAUAUCUUGGUAAACACAACUUGGAUUUUCGUGGAAGUUGUGAGUAACUUUACAAGGAUGAUAAUGGUAAUUUCUCAGCUUGCAUUGAGAUGGUUGCAGAAUUUUAUAUGGUAAUGCAAGAUCACCUUAGACGUGUUGAGAACAAGGAAAUCCAUUAUCACUAUCUCAGUCAUAAAAUACAAAAUGAGCUGAUAUCUCUUUUGGCUUUUGACAUCACAUGUACUAUCAUAAAGGUUGUUAAAGAGCCCAAGUAUUUCUAUGUUAUCCUAGAUUGUACCCCUGAUGUUAGUCAUGAAGAACAAAUGACCUUUUUAGUUCGACGUGUUAAUCUGUCUGAUGGCAAAACAAAAAUCGAGGAGUACUUUCUGGGGUUCUUGAAAGUGGAUGACACUUCUGGCUUAGGGAUUUUCAAAGUACUGCUUGAUUCUGUUGAGUCUUUUGGCCUAAAUAUGCAAGAUAUAAGGGAUCAAGGAUAUGAUAACGGUUCUAAUAUGAAAGUAAACUACUGAGGGGUACAAUCUAGGUUACUUGAUAUGAAUCCAAGAGCAUUAUAUAUGCCAUGUGCAUGUCAUAGUCUAAAUCUCACUCUCUGUGAUAUGGCAAAAUCAUGUGAGAAAGUUGUUUCAUUUUUUGGAAUUGUUCAACGUAUAUAUGUAUUAUUUGCUGGCUCUACAAAAAGGUGGAAUGUUUUGCUUAAACAUGUUCCUAGUUUGACCGUGAAACCAUUGUCCAAUACCCGUUGGGAGAGUAGAAUCAAAAGUGUUACAACAAUAAGAUAUCAAGCCGCUGAGUUAAGGUCAGCUUUGUCUAAGUUACGUCAUGCUUCUGACACUAAUCCUAAAGAUAAAAGUGAUGCCAAAAAUUUAUUUGAUGCACUUGGUCGCUUUGAGUUUCUAGUUGGUACGAUUAUCUGGCAUGAUAUUCUAUUUGAUGUAAAUAAAGUUAGCAAGAUGUUGCAAUUGUCAACCAUGUGCAUUGACUCCGCUUUGAAGAAGAUAAAAGGUAUAACAAAAUAUUUUGAGAAUUACAGAGAUGAGGGGUUUUCUUCAGGUCCGACCAUCACUAAAGGUAUUGCAACUGAAAUGGGAAUAGAGCCAUGGUUUCCAGUGAAACGUUGUGCUAAGAGGAAGAAAUAGUAUGAUGAAAAUUUAAAGAACUCAUGGUCUUUAAAGAUAUAUGUAUUUUUAUUGAGCUCAGGCACUCUCACGUCAUUAAGAGACAAUGAACUUGAAGAAUGUUGCACAAAAUUUGCAGAAGCUUUCUCUCUUAAUGGUUCAUCUGAUGUUGAGGUAUAUGAUCUUAUUUCUGAAUUGAAGAUUAUGAGAAUCACUUUGCCAGAUAGCGCAAUGUCUGCUAUGGAGAUUUUCGGGCAUGUCAGAGAAGUUGAUUGUUACCCCAAUAUAUCCAUUGCCCAUCGCAUCUUAUUUAUUGUGCCUGUGACGGUCGCAUCGGCCGAGAGAAGCUUUUCGAAGUUGAAAUUAUUGAAGAAUUAUUUGAGGUCAACAAUGACUCAAGAGAGGUUAAAUGGUUUGCCCACAUUAUGCAUCGAGAAGAAAUUAUUGGAUCAGAUUGACAUCGACCCCAUCAUAAUUGACUUUGCAUCGAGGAAUGUUAGAAGAAAUUUUGAAGGUAUUAUGUAA